ACCUCCUGGGCUCAAGCGAUCCUCCUGCCUCAGCCCCAAUCUUUAUGGAGAAAGGAGCACACACGGGACACUGGCUUAAUCCAGCUACUGGAAGGUUUCAGCAAAGGAGAGACAUAACAGGGAAGUGGACAAUAGCCCCCUAGGUUCCUGCCUGAAUUAUGGGGAGGACAGCCCUUAACUGAGAUUAUGAACAAAGGAUAGCAUGUCUUGGCUAAGGCAGCCUGAGCAGCUGAAAACAUGCCUAGGGAGUAUGCCAGCUGUAUUAGUCUUCCAUCUGGAGUCCUUUGAACACAUAACAAAGUACCUGUGGCUUGGUGUUUGUUUGCAGGGGCACCCCAUGCAGAGAUGGGCAUCCUAACCCAUCUCUGGGAUUUUAUCAAGCACUUCCAAGGCUAAGUACUGAAUGGAGGAGAAGACCAGAACUGCCCCCAUAGCAAGGGGGAAGUCCAAGAGAACAUGACUUUGGCCUGUCUUCCAAACAGACUUGCAUGAAGACAGAGUUCUGGGCACUAAGAAACUGAGGGUUGGCUGGAAAGAAAUGGGAUAUUUCUUGAUUAUCCCUGCAACCCUGGAAAAAGGAAAAGUAAUCCUUCAUCUUAUGGGACAACUGAUAGUCCUAGAAGCAGGAGCAGCAAGUGCAACGCUACACAACCAGAAAGAGACGAAGCCAGAACUGAAACUCAGCCCUUCUAAUUGCUUCUCUCCAGUGUUCCAGCUCAAGCCACUCCUAGGCAGAAAUUCCUUCUGGUCAGUGGUUUCAGAAGUUGGGAAAUGGAUUUUAGCUUUUGGUUCCUGACCUGGACUAACUUUGAUUAGUUGAAAUGAAGUCUUUUGAACUUCAAAUGCACUACUCUAUAAAUGGGUGCCCCUC
RNAcentral lists this long non-coding RNA (871 nucleotides) under Homo sapiens (human). RNAcentral describes it as "HSALNT0292098". The record is from RNAcentral. Lineage: Eukaryota; Metazoa; Chordata; Mammalia; Primates; Hominidae.